RNAcentral lists this ribosomal RNA (253 nucleotides) under uncultured bacterium. RNAcentral describes it as "partial 16S ribosomal RNA". It matches the Rfam family "Bacterial small subunit ribosomal RNA", at positions 524 to 776 of the family's 1533-position model. The record is from RNAcentral.
UACGGAGGAUCCAAGCGUUAUCCGGAAUCAUUGGGUUUAAAGGGUCCGUAGGCGGUUUAAUAAGUCAGUGGUGAAAGCCCAUCGCUCAACGGUGGAACGGCCAUUGAUACUGUUAAACUUGAAUUAUUAGGAAGUAACUAGAAUAUGUAGUGUAGCGGUGAAAUGCUUAGAGAUUACAUGGAAUACCAAUUGCGAAGGCAGGUUACUACUAAUGGAUUGACGCUGAUGGACGAAAGCGUGGGGAUCAAACAGG